RNAcentral lists this ribosomal RNA (2475 nucleotides) under marine metagenome. RNAcentral describes it as "bacterial LSU rRNA". It matches the Rfam family "Archaeal large subunit ribosomal RNA", at positions 15 to 2576 of the family's 2987-position model. The record is from RNAcentral.
AAACUAUUAGGUGGAUGGCUUGGCUCAAAUAGAGAUGAAGGGUGUGACAAGCUACAUUAUGCCCCGGCUAGAUGCACGUAAUCUUUGAACCGGGGGUCCCCGAAUCUGACUUCAGAAUAAAUCCGGAAGGAUGUUGAACGCAGGGAAUUGAAACAUCUUAGUACCUGCAGGAAAAGAAAUCAACGAGAUGCUGUUAGUAAGAGCGACUGAACACAGCACAAGGCAAACUGAAUCUUUUGUUGAAAGACAAAAGAGAUGUGGUGUUAAGACCUUUCUUUAUUUCCUCUUUUGGGAACCUGAAUUUCUCUGGAAAGAGAAACCUUAGAGUGUGAUAGUCACGUAAGGGUAACUAAGAAGGAAUUGAGAGGUAUCUUGAGUACUAUUCACUGGAUACUGAAUAGGAAUAUGGGAGGCAUUAACUUCCAACCUUAAAUAUUAUUUGAGCCCGAUAGCAAACUAAGUACAAUGAUGGAAAGCUGAAAAGAACCCUUAACAGGAAGUUCAAAGAACCUGAAACCUAAUAGUGAUAGUGUGGUACGGCUCUACGGAGUUGUGCCGUGCGUUUCGAAUAACGUGCCAGGGAGUUUGUUCAAGUGGCAAGGGUAAAUAAAAUGUACCCGAAGCGAAAGCGAUAAGCCUGCAACUUGUGAGAGGCAGCGUAUGAAAGUGCGUGGAGUCACUUGGGCAAGACCCGAAACCGGACGAUCUAACCCUGAGUAAGGUGAAGCGAGGGUAAAACCUUGUGGAGGCCUGAAGAGGUUCUACGAGCAAGUGUUCUUCUAACUUGGGGCUAGGGGUGAAAAGCCAAUCGAGUCCGGUGAUAGCUGGUUCCUAUCGAAAUUGGCUGUAGUCAAGUCUUAAGCGAGAUAACUUAAAGGGUAGAGCUACGGAUUGGGGGUUUAGGUUUCGAAAGAGAUCGAUUCUCUGUCCAACUCCGAACUUUUAAUUAUUGUAGACCUUAGGAAACGGCGGCGCGGGGUAAGCCUGUGUCGCGAGAGGGGAACAACCCAGACUAUGGUUAAGGUCCCAAAAUAUCAGUUAAGUGUUAAAGGGUGAAAGGUGUCUAUUGUCGAAGACAGCGAGGAGGUUGGCUCAGAAGCAGCCACCCUUUAAAAAGUGCGUAACAGCUUACUUGUCAAGAUAAUAGGCCCUUAAAAUGGACGGGGCUAAACUGAUUACCGAUACCAUAGACAUGCUAACAGCAUAGUAGUAGAUAGGCAUUUUUUAAGGGCAGAAGCUCCUUUGCGAGAGGGUGUGGACCUUAAAGAAAUGAAAAUCCUGGCGGUAGUAGGAUCAUAGCAGAGUGAGAAUCUCUGUCACCGAAAGGGCAAGGGUUCCUUGACAAUAUAAAUUAGUCAAGGGUUAGUUAGUCCUAACUAUGCUCAUAAAUUGAGUAAUGGGAAAGGGAAACAGGUUAAUAUUCCUGUACUAUCUAAGUAUGUGCGGCAACGCAAGUUUAAUUUCUAUCUUUUUGGGGUAAGCUGACAAAUGAUCAAGUUUGCUAACUAAAACAGAUAAGGGGAGAUUGUAAUAAUGAGAACCUUAUCAAAUUUAGGAAUGGUGUUCUUAUGGGACAUUCAGCCGAUAUCUAGAAAUCUUAAAAAAGGAAUUAAAAUAAAUCUUAGAUAACUAUACCCAGAACCAGCACUGGUGCCCCUGGGUGAGAAGCCCAAGGUGUGAAGGUGUAAUCCGAUUGAGGGAACUCGGCAAAAUAGCCCCGUGACUUAGGUAUAAGGGGUCCCUGCGAUUGUAGCAAUGCAAUUGCAGGGUGCAAUUACAAAGGGGGUCCGACUGUUUAACAAAAACUUAACUGACUGCUAGCCUGUAAAGGUGCGUAUAGUCAGUGACGUCUGCCCAGUGUCAGUACUUUAAGCUCGGUUUCAACUGAGUGAAGAGCUGAUAAACGGCGGGAGUAACUAUAACUCUCUUAAGGUAGCGUAAUACCUUGUCGUUUGAUUGACGACUUGCAUGAAUGACGUAACGAGAUCCCUUCUGUCCCCAAUUGGAAUCCUCUGAACACUCUUUACUGGUGCAAAGGCCAGUGAUCUCCAGUGGGAAGCGAAGACCCCGUGAAACUUUACUGUAGUCUGUUAUUGCAACGUGAAUUUUGAUGUAGAGCGUAGGUGGGAGCCGUUAAAGCUUUGUCGCAAGGCGAAGUGUAGGCAACAAUGUAACACCACCCUUCGAAAUUUACGCUGCUUACUUCGAGAGAAGGACAUUGAUAGAUGGACAGUUUGGCUGGGGUGGCACCCUGUCGAAAAGAUAUCGACAGGGCCCAAUGGUUGGCUCAAGCGGGUCAGAAAUCCGCAGUAGAGUGCAAGAGCAAAAGCCAGCCUGACUGGAUUCAUAAUAAGAUUGAAUUCAGACAAGAAAUUGUGGUCUAGCGAACCUCUAAAUCCUCCUUAAUGGGGGUUAGAGAUGACCGAAAAGUUACUCCGGGGAUAACAGAGUUGUCGCGCCUGAGAGCUCAUAUCG